RNAcentral lists this ribosomal RNA (363 nucleotides) under Tenuilapotamon latilum huishuiense. RNAcentral's name for it is "partial large subunit ribosomal RNA". Lineage: Eukaryota; Metazoa; Arthropoda; Malacostraca; Decapoda; Potamidae. The record is from RNAcentral.
GUUUGUUUGGAGUUAUAAAGAAUUUGACCUGCCCCCUGAUUAAUAAUUAAAGGGCCGCAGUAUUAUAACUGUGCAAAGGUAGCAUAAUCAUUAGGUUUUUAAUUGGAAUCUUGCAUGAAUGGUCGGACAAGAGAAAGACUCUCUUUAUAUUAAAUUUUGAAUUUAACUUUUAAGUGAAAAGGCUUAAAUAUUCUAAAGGGACGAUAAGACCCUAUAAAACUUUACAUUGAAAUUAAUUUUGAUUGAAUUUGUAAAAUAAGAAUUUUAUUUGAUUAUUUGUUAUGUUGGGGAGAUAUAAGUAAAAUAAUAUUUUAACUGCUUAAUAAUUAUACAAUUAUUAGUGAGUAAUAGAAGAUCCUUUUU